This 371-nucleotide ribosomal RNA is filed under the name uncultured bacterium. Its description in RNAcentral is "bacterial SSU rRNA". It matches the Rfam family "Bacterial small subunit ribosomal RNA", at positions 29 to 421 of the family's 1533-position model. The record is from RNAcentral.
CGCGAACGCUGGCGGCAUGCUUAACACAUGCAAGUCGCACGGGAGGGGCAACCCUUCAGUGGCGGACGGGUGAGUAACGCGUAGGUAUCUGUCUCUGGGUGGGGGAUAACCAUGGGAAACUAUGGCUAAUACCGCAUGAAGCCUGAGGGCCAAAGCAGCGAUGCGCCUGGAGAGGAGCCUGCGUACGAUUAGCUAGUUGGUGGGGUAAAGGCCCACCAAGGCGACGAUCGUUAGCUGGUCUGAGAGGAUGAUCAGCCACACUGGGACUGAGACACGGCCCAGACUCCGUACGGGAGGCAGCAGUGGGGAAUAUUGGACAAGUGGGCGCAAGCCUGAUCCAGCAAUGCCGCGUGAGUGAAGAAGGUCUUCGG